RNAcentral lists this long non-coding RNA (551 nucleotides) under Volvox carteri. RNAcentral describes it as "long non-coding RNA (VCAR_LNC000847)". The record is from RNAcentral. Lineage: Eukaryota; Viridiplantae; Chlorophyta; Chlorophyceae; Chlamydomonadales; Volvocaceae.
GUGAGUCGUUGGAAACUGCACAGGCCCCAACGAAGCGUGCCAUGACGACGUACAAAGCAAGGGUCUGGGUGAUGCUACAUGGGCCACAGCAAGAGGAUACUACAACACAUUGUCGAGGCCUGUAUAGAACGGCUCAUUAUCACAAGGACACACAGGGCGCAGGUUUCGUGCCCAUGUACCAUAUGAGGAGCCUCCUGUGCAUUAUGCCAACACAUGAUCACCCGCGUUGGUACAAGCACCCUAGGCGGCCACAAGGGUCCCCAAGUGGCACAAGCAUCCAGAUGUGUAAGAAAUCGCCACGGCGCAGCCCAGGACACUUUCCACAUCUCUUGUCCUUAACUCCCCUUUAGGGGAUGGGGAAAAAAACAAAGGGGAUGGCCCCCCAACGCAGCGUUUGUGCCCACACCGUACCCCCAAAUCCGACUAACCGAUGUUCCAGGUAGUGGGGAUCUGGCAGAGGUUCAAGUCCAAACCAUUUAAUUCAACGUCCGUGACGGCACUGUUCGUGCAGGUGACGCCAGAGAAGCUGCAGGCGUCAGAGCCUGCAACCC